AGACGCAUGCGCAGUCUCUGUCGGCCUCGUGAGCGGCCGCCACUCGUCACAGUUGCGCUGCAGCGACGCCACAAGACUGAGGAAGGAACUGCAUAGCAUAGCAAAAAAGGAAAAAAAGGCGUAAGAGUAUGGACUGUAUCAGGAAAGGUAUGUAUAAAGCCAGGGUUACCAUACAGGCACGGCAGAUCCACUUCCUGUAAUUCCGAUCAAGAGCACCUAUUUAAUGAAGUAAUUUUAAAUUCCCUUUUAAAAUCCCACUCAAAAGUCAUUACCCAUAAAAAUCCAUUCCCCCCCCCCAAGCUAUGCUUACAAAUGAACAUGGGAUGGCAGUAUAGUUCUAAAUAUUCAUCCACAGAUGUUAAUGGAAUAGAAUUUGAUCAUUAAGUAGACGGGUCACCUUUUCUUUUCAGCUCUUCUGUGACCAAGGGCACAGCGCCUCAGAGGAGAUGCAGACUGCCUUUCUCAUGAAAAUAUUUUUUUUAAAAAAAUGGACACUGGCCUUUGGUCAUGUGCAGUUCUUCCCCCAGAAACCUGCUCCGAUUUUGAGCAAACGUAAAGUGGUUUGUCGCUCUGAGAGUACACACCGGAACAUUUAAGAUCAUACGCAACUAAGUUCUGCUCAGAGUAGACCUACUGAAAUUAAUGGACCUAAGUUAGCCAAGUCCAUUCUUUUCAGGGGGUCUACUCUGAGUAUGCUGGAUACAAGUCAUUCUAAAUAUUUACUUAACCAGUAGACUACUUUUCCUUAUCUAUAUGUUGUUCUAAACAUUUAGUUUCCACCAGAGAAAUGCCUUUAAGCUCUUCUGUGUAAAGGAAAUUGCGCCACAAGUAAUAUAUAUUAGAAUAAACAGUAGGGGGAGUACAACCCUGGAGGAAUACUAUUAUGGCCUAUCCACAACGGCCUCCUUAUUCUUGUUGCCCCAUAAGAACAGCAAGAAAAGAGAUAGAUAAUCCACACGAUAACACCUGACAACAUGAUGCUGUAUGCCUGCCUCACUUCAGCACUCUUAGUACAGUAAUCAAUUGUUUAGCAAGUGACCUGUUCAGCGCAACGUUAAUUUAUUGAUCAAACAACCUAGAGAUAGAAAAUGAAUACAAGUCAACCAAGGAGAAAUGUUUAAAGACUUGGGGGGGGGGUAUCCAAUGUUAGCCUCAUUGAAAUCAGUCUCACACUUUACUAACCUGUUGUUCUUGAGGAUCGGCAUCAGCGUGGCAUUCUGACCAGGCAGGUAGAUUUAGGGCUACAUGGCAAUCUUAUCAACAAGGUGAAACCAGUACCUGAGUGACAGGGAGGGAGAAUCUGUGGCCCUCCAGAUAUUGUUGAACUCCAGUUUCCAUCAGUCCCAAUCAGCAUGGCCAAUAGGGAUGAUGGUAAUUGUAGUUCAAAAACAUCUGGAGAGCCACAUCACUCCUGUAUGAUAUGCUGCAGUUGAUGUUUUACUGCUGCCUUCUACGAGGUAAUAUGAGAUAUAUUCCAUUAUUAAGUAAUUUUAUAGACACCAGUCAACAAUAUACUCUUCCUGGUCAGCAGCUAAUUUCAAGGAAGGUUCGGAGAGGGAGAAGUCUCCCUCAAAGAGAGCUGUUCGCUAGUCUUGCUAUAUCUGUAAUUGCAUCCUUAUACAGACUUUUCUUGUCUCUGGCUUUGAAGCUGAUGAGUCAGAUUUGGCCUUGGGACCUCUAAUUGCUGACCCACAUCAGCAUCCAUGGAAAACCAUGACUUGACAAGGUUGUACAAGGUGAUGGAGACUUGUUUGAUUUACCUUGGGGAAUCUCUGUGAGUAAAGAAUUCACUUAUUUGGAAAGUUAAAUGUCUGUGAUUUAUUCUAGUCUAAGUAUUUUAAUGGGGAACAUUUGUUUAAAGGUGGGUGAAGGCAGAUAUAAAUCUGCCAAGAUGUGUGAGACCCAGCUCAAUCAUGGCUGUAGUAAGAUGGGAAUAUAAAAUGAUUCUUUGGAAGUGAGAGCUGGACCAUAAAGAAGGCUGAUCGCCGAAGAAUUGAUGCUUUUGAAUUAUGGUUUUGGAGGAGACUCUUGAGAGUCCCAUGGACUGCAAGAAGAUCAAACCUAUCCAUUCUUAAGGAAAUCAGGCCUAAGUGCUCACUGGAAGGACAGAUCGUGAAGCUGAGGCUCCAAUACUUUGGCCACCUCAUGAGAAGAGAAGACUCCCUGGAAAAGACCCUGAUGUUGGGAAAGAUUGAGGGCACAAGGAGAAGGGGACGAGAGAGGACGAGAUGGUCGAAGCUACCAGCAUGAGUUUGACCAAGCUGCGGGAGGCAGUGGAGGACAGGAGUGCCUGGCAUGCUCUGGUCCAUGGGGUCACGAAGAGUCAGACAUGACUAAACAACAACAACUGGGAUGAAGAACCUCUGUGGCCCUCCAGAUGUCAUUGGACUCCAGCUCCCAUAAGCCCCAAGCAGCACAGCCAAUGGUCAAGGAUGAUGGGAGUUGUAGCUUAGCAAUGUCUGGAGGACCAUAGGUUCCUCAUUCCUGCUUUACAAUUAAAAUAAGAUGAGGCGAAAUGAAGGCGGGGGGGGGGGACUGUUGGAGAAAGAGGUUUGGAAGAGAGAGUCCUUACUCUCUUGUAGUAGAGUCACACCAUUUUACACAAUGGGGAUUGCUCCAGGCACAGUAAAACUUGGUUAGAUUUAUAUCUGCCCUCACCCACCUUUAAACAAACGUUCCCCAUUAAAAUACUUAGACUAGAAUAAAUCACAGACACUUAACUUUCCAAAUAAGUGAAUUCUUUACUCACAGAGAUUCCCCAAGGUAAAUCAAACAAGUCUCCAUCUGCUGGCAGUGAAAGAAAGGUGAAAAAGGUUUAAACAACUCCCAAUGAAAAGUACUUGGCUUCCUUCCUUCUGGGUUGCACGCUCAUCUCGCUCUAUAGGCCGAGGUAGCCAGCGUUUGUCCGCAGACAGCUUCCUGGUCAUGUGGUCAGCAUGACCAAGCCGCUUCUGACGAACCAGAGCAGCGCACAGAAACGGCGUUUACAUUCCCACCAGAGCGGUUUAUCUACUUGCACUUUGAUGUGCUUUCGAACUGCUAGGUGGGCAGGAGCUGGGACUGAACAACGGGAGCUCACCCCGUCACAGGGAUUUUAACUGCCGACCUUCUGAUUGGCAAGCCCUAGGGUCUGUGGUUUAGACCACAGCGCCACCUGCGUCCCUUGUAUGAACUGUAGUAACUGUAUAUUACAAUGAAAACUUCCUAGCUAUGAGCUUGGUUCAGCAGGGUAAUAAAAGAAUCAGAGUGAACUGGGGAACUUUGAAAGAAAUUGCUUGGGAAAUGGUUCAUUUGCACACAGUGACUGCAUUUUGAUGUCAUGAUAAACUAUGGUAGGGAUGGGGAAGCUGUGGCCAUCCAGAUAUUGCUGGAUCAAAACUCUUAUCAUCCUUGACCAUUGGCUAUGUUGACUGUGACCGAUUGGGGUUGGAAUCCAACGAGAACUGGAGGACUCCAACAAGUUUAAUAUGACAGGACUGAAUCUGUGUGAGCCUCCUCCAGCAUGGCUGUGAGGUGGAGCUUGGAAUCUUUCACCCCCAUCUUUGUUUCACUGAGGCUUGUCAUGUUGUUCAAAGCUGACAAAGUGUGGUUAAUUAUAACUAUGGUUCCUUGAACCAAUUCAGCUUUGUAAGCCUUAUAAGCCAUGCUUUGAAAGUGGUUUGAUUCAAGCAAACCAUAGUUAUAGAUUUAGGUAUAACAGCCCCCACUCCCACCGAGCCUAAGGGUAUUUAUUGUCACAAUAAACCACAGUUUGUCAUAACGUCCAAAUGCAGCUAAUCUCAAAAGUAUCCUUGAGCUCCAUGACUGAGCAAAGGUGAAGUAAAAAUCCCUGUGCCUAAUGCACUACACAGCCUCCUUAAAUCAAAGUUUUAAUAAAUGUUAUGUUGAGUAGAAGUGCUUUUAAAGUGUGUGUAAAAUGGUUUCGGUGCUGGUGAAUUUUCAUGAGGACUUAAGAAAAAUCGCAAACCAAUGUGGAAAUGUGAAGAACUGAACUUAAAUUUUGAAAAAAUGAGAGCAAGAAAUGGAAAUUGGCAGAUUUGCACAUCCAUAACCUCAUUGUUUUACUCUUUCAUUUAGGUUCAACAAGAUAAAAGGGGCAUUGGAUUGCUUUCACUGGCUUUCUUAACUCUAAAGAACUUUGAGAAGAGAGCAAGUGAAAAUUGUGAGUAGAAAUAAAUACCUACCUAUUUUUUUGGGGGGGGGUGUCAAUACCUCUUUAAUUUACAUCCUGACUUUUUUUCCCCUGUUGGACUGCAAUUAUAAUCAUUCAAAGCCCACAGACACAUAAUCGUUUGGCCGGGGAGCAAAAAGACCCUGACUGAUGCGCUUAACAAAAAUUAACCUGGUUAGAGUGGUACUCUGUUGAAAAUGAGAAAGUGCAGGGGAUCAAAAUCAAUGCCUUCACAGCCAAAUGACUGCAGGACUGGCUUUGAAUUUCAGCUAAAUGCCCUUAAAAUGAUGAUCUUAAUUGCAUUAUAUUAAAGCCCCUGAUCAGAUAGUUCAGAUGAUGAUAAUCUAUCAUAUUGGAUGUGGAUGGCAAGGGGAAAAGGGGAGAUGAUAUCUCUUAUGCAGAGGUUGGCUCAGGAUCUCCACGCGCUGCCCAGAGCUUCCCAAGGCUAGGUUACCCAUGUCCAUCUUGUUGGGCAACAGCUUUCAUCAUCCCUGAUCAUUGGUAGUCUUGGGUGUUGGAGCUGUUGGCAGCUGGAGUCCAGCAACAUCAGGAGGGCCCCAAGUUCUCCAUCCCUGCAUAGCCUCACAAAGAGUUUGCAGGCAUCCCACACACAAGAAACUUAGAGAACACAUUGUGCCUGGAACAGCUUUGGACCCAUUUAUUAACUUGUAGCAUUGUAUGAUUAUUUGUACGUGUGAAUUGACCAUCUAUAGAUAGCUUAUUAUGCGGCUUUGAUUGAAAUACAGUGGGUUUUUCUUAGCAGUACAGAGGAACCUCGUGUUACGUACCGUCCUCCUUAUGAAUGCUUCAGGUUAGAAGCUCUGCUAUCCCAGAAGUAUAUGCUCCUGGUUGCAAACUUUGCCCCAGGAUGCGAGCGGAAGUCACGUGCCGGCGGCGUAGCAGCAGGAGGUGCCAUUAGUGAAAGUGUGCCUCAGGUUAAGAACGGUUUCGGGUUACAAACGGACCUCCGGAACGAAUUCAGUUUGUAACCAGAGGUACCACUGUAGCUGGGCAGCAGACUGAGCAGCCACAGAGUUAAUCUCUAGAGCCACAUCUCCCGCACGCUAUGGGGAAAUGUAUUUCUUCUUAAAUUACAACCAGCAUUAUAAUUUAAUUCCCAAACAUAAUUUCCAAGUUUGAACCUAGCUGUAUAAAUCAGGGUCCUUGCGGCGGCUUGAUGUGUAGUAAGUGGCCCCUCUAGGAAGAGCCCUGGGUUGAUCAGUCCAAAAGCCCAUCUCAUCCAGCACCCUGGGAGGAAUUCAUUGUAGUUCUAACUUAAAGGAUCUCAGUUGUGUACCAGUUGCACUAGCAGAAUGGCUUGCACAAGACAAGGCACAGGAAGAGGAGUUGCAGGCCCAUCUAGCUCAGUGUUGCCUACACUGACUGGCAGUGGCUCUGUAGGAUCUCAGACUGAGUUCCCUCCCAGCCUUACCCGGAGAUGCCAAGGAUUUAACCUAGGACCUUUUGCAUGCAAAAGAGAUGCUCUCCCACUGAACUAGUUCCCUUUCCCAAAUGUGAGCCACCAAUGCAUUUCCAUUCCAUGUUUGCCUGCAUUUUUGCCUGCAUGUUUGCCUGCAUUUCACACAUGUGCAGCGAGAACCUCUGCACAGAAACUACACAGAUUCCAGCGUGAAUUCCCGGGAGCAGUUAUUUGCAUUGUUAGCAAAUCUGCUUCUUGCAACCUGCCCUUUCUUCCUUCUUAGCCAAUAUUUGAUCAUCUCCCCAUCGCUGCUGAUAAAUUACUAUGAUAUUUAAAGAUCUUCUUGAGCUUUGCUGAGCGAUGCCUCUAAGUGGCUUGAGAGUGGAGAUUUUGCUUUGCAGUACCACUCGUCAUCUUCUGGUGGGUAAAACUCUUUUCCUUUUUAAAAGCCGGAACCUUGCAGAGUUUCCUGCAGAAGAGGGGCGAAAGGCAUUAGCUCUGCAUUUAAAAUGAAGCAGAUUUACAGUAUAUAUCACAGAAAUAUAGAAUGUCAGUAGCAGUCAGCAAGGACUCAAAUGCCCAUAAUCUUUCUCUCUCUCUCUCUUCUUUCCGGAGUUUAGGACUCUAUGAUGCAAUCCAACAGAGAGUUAAAUCCUUUAACAUUUUGGUCCUGCUCUAAUUUGGGUUCAUCAUUAUGUCAAAAAUGGUUCAAUUCCAGUAUAUUGUUAUGAGUUUUGGCUGGGGGGAAGGGCUAGGCUGAAUGCCUGGGCCCCCUUCUAAUUCCUAGAUCCAACAUUGAGUCAAGGAAUAGCCAGCCCAGCCUGGGAGAUGGAUCGCUAAGUGACCGACGGAAAGGGGGCUCUAUGCCAGAUGACAAAUGGAUGGAGCCCCUCCAGCUCUUAGAUAGUUAAAUGGACAAAGCCUAAGUUUGAGGGCAGAGUUUGCUGUGAUGUGGCCCAGAGGGAAAAGCUGCAGGCUGGAGAGAAAAUCCAGAACAGAUUUAGGGGGUGCACAGAGGGUGUUCUGUUGUGCAAGCAGGAAUCCUUGUGUUGACGGAAGAGGGGAGUUAGCACCACAUUGGAUUCCACCCUAAAUAUUUAACUUGAGCUACUGCAUUUAAUAAUAGAGAGGAAGAAACACAGACCAAACUGGACAUGAUGAAGGUAAUGUGGCCCUUGGACUCCUCUGUCUGGCCCCUGGGACCCUUCAUUCCUUCCUCUAGCUCUUUUGCCUGAUUGAAAUGUGUCCUUGAACUGUGACAAUGCCUUUUGUUUGCCUGGAUGCUGUGAUGUGUGGGGUGUGUGUUUAGAACCUUCUGAUUUAGUGUGGAUGGAGUGUGGCCUUCUGCACAAAAGUAAGAGUCAAAUCUGGAAUGCCUUCCCUCAGGUAAUUUGUGAGGUGGAGACAGUAAUGGCCUUUAAGAACCUCUUAAAAAUGUGUGUUUUUGCACCCUGACACCUAAUUCUCCAUUUCAUACACAUCUCGGCUUUAUGGACGACAUGGUUUUCAGCUAGUUUUUAAGAAAGUUUUAUUGAUUGCCAUUGUUGUAUUCUUUUUAAAAAAAUGUAAACUGCUUAGAGAUUUUCAAAAAAUAUUAUUCUCAAUGGUAUUAUACACAAAGAAAAGUCCCAAAGAGACUUAGCUAGAGUUGGGAAGGCCUGGGGAAAACCCAGAAAAAUAGGGAAAAAACCCAGGUUUUUUUCUGGAAAAAUUGGGGGGAAAAAAGUAUGUGGAAUAUUCAAACAAUAGCAAACUGUUUUUUUUCUUUUCGUUUUUUUCCAGAAAAAAGGCUUUGGAAAAAACCCUGGUUCCCCCGCCCAGCCCAUUUUUUUUUUUGUUUUUUCCGCAGGCCUUCCCAUCUCUAGACUUAACACGAUAAAAUAUGAAGAAGUAAAAUCAGUUAAAAGUCAUUUUUUUAAAAAAAAAUGUGAAAACAACGUCCAGUACAAAAUUCCUCAAAUGCUUAUUGAACUUUACAAUAAGAACAACAAGUCCUAAAAUGUUAUGCAGCACACAUAUUUCCAAAUAAAUAAAUGGUUGCUCUGCCCCCCCUUGUCUUUAGCUCCACCUACUUUUGCCUUUGGCUCCACCCAUCACUGGCAUGUGACCCCUGGAAGGAUUUCCAUGAAGGGAUGCGGCUCUUGGGCUAAAUAUGGUCUCCCACC
RNAcentral lists this long non-coding RNA (7756 nucleotides) under Podarcis lilfordi (Lilford's wall lizard). Lineage: Eukaryota; Metazoa; Chordata; Lepidosauria; Squamata; Lacertidae. The record is from RNAcentral.